This 73-nucleotide transfer RNA is filed under the name Actinomycetota bacterium. Its description in RNAcentral is "tRNA-Leu". It matches the Rfam family "tRNA". Rfam says of the family: Transfer RNA (tRNA) molecules are approximately 80 nucleotides in length. Their secondary structure includes four short double-helical elements and three loops (D, anti-codon, and T loops). Lineage: Bacteria; Bacillati; Actinomycetota. The record is from RNAcentral.
GCCCCCGUACUCCAACGGCAGAGAGGGGUCGCUUAAACCGGCCACAGUGUGGGUUCGAAUCCCACCGGGGGCA